AUGAUAGGAUCCAACUUGAGUGUACAUGGACAUCAACAUGUGGACGAUGAUCUCCCAAAAACUCGCGCAUCACUUGGUGAUAUGAUUGAGGAGAGUAUAGUUGCAGCUAUGCGGAUGAUGUUUGGUGGUCGUCUUCCUAUUGCCGGUAAUGGGGAUCAACAUCAACACAGCCCCGCUGCCUCGCUGGCCGCCGACAACCGACAACGUCAAGAACACAAUGAUCGCCAUGUUGGUUGUGGACGAGCGGCAAGAGCUACUGCCCACGGCGCCCCUGCUGUUGGUGCUGAAAGGAGGCACGUCGACUUUGCUGCCCCCCGUGAGGGUGGGCUGCAUGGAGGAGAAGCUCGCAGGAGAGGCCAUGACCCCCGCGGGUUUGCUACUGAUCACCGGCGACAAGCGGCACAUGAUGAUGAUGCCAUCUUCCUUGAAGAUCUCUCCGAGCAUGGUGACGAAGAUGAAGGCAUGGGGGACUAUGAACCCUACUCCCCGCCUCGCUGUGUUGCUAUUUUUUAUCACAAUGGUCAUCAUUAUGACCGUCGUGAUCAGGAUGACUGUGAUAACCAAGCGAGAGUGAAGCUACAUGUGCCAUCAUUCACGGUAAAAGACGACCUAGAUGCAUAUAUUGAGUGGGAAGAGAACUGUGACCAAAUCUUUCGCAUCCAUGGUUUUUCUGAAGCCAAGAGAGUUGAUCUUGCUGUUGUGGAGUUCUCUGGUUAUGCUCUUACAUGUUGGAAUCAUCUGCAAGACAAUCGGUUGAUGUCAGGAAAUAAUCAUAUCCGCAGCUGGACCUUGAUGAAGGAAGUCAUGAGGCGCCGUUUUGUUCCAUCAUACUAUGAGAGGCAAUUGUACAAGCGGUUGCAGGGGCUCACUCAAGGUUCCCGCACUAUUGAGGAGUACUAUAAAGAGAUGGAGGAGCUGCUGAUUCGGACAAGAACCCGUGAAAAUGAUGAGGCGAAAAUGGCAAGAUUUUUAAAUGGGCUGAAUGAUGAAAUAUCAGAUUUUGUGGAGAUGUUUCCUUAUGAUACAUUACAAGAUGUGUUACAUCAAGAUAUAAGAGUUGAGAAGAAGAAUAUGCGUAAUGUUCGUACUCAUGCUUUCCAAGGCCGCACCACCACCCGCUCAUGGCAGCAAGCACAACAGCCAUAUGGUUCUCAGUUUGAGGGUGCACCACCUAGACACCCACAUGCCUCGACGGCUUCCUCACCUGCUAUUCGCAAUUAA
Molecule: ribosomal RNA, 1221 nt
Filed under: Triticum aestivum (bread wheat)
Lineage: Eukaryota; Viridiplantae; Streptophyta; Magnoliopsida; Poales; Poaceae
Description: partial small subunit ribosomal RNA
Source: RNAcentral